CUGGGUUUGACAUGCACAGGACGUGCCUAGAGAUAGGUAUUCCCUUGUGGCCUGUGUGCAGGUGGUGCAUGGCUGUCGUCAGCUCGUGUCGUGAGAUGUUGGGUUAAGUCCCGCAACGAGCGCAACCCUUGUCUCAUGUUGCCAGCACGUCAUGGUGGGGACUCGUGAGAGACUGCCGGGGUCAACUCGGAGGAAGGUGGGGAUGACGUCAAGUCAUCAUGCCCCUUAUGUCCAGGGCUUCACACAUGCUACAAUGGCCGGUACAAAGGGCUGCGAUGCCGUGAGGUGGAGCGAAUCCUUUCAAAGCCGGUCUCAGUUCGGAUCGGGGUCUGCAACUCGACCCCGUGAAGUCGGAGUCGCUAGUAAUCGCAGAUCAGCAACGCUGCGGUGAAUACGUUCC
Molecule: ribosomal RNA, 400 nt
Filed under: uncultured Mycobacterium sp.
Lineage: Bacteria; Bacillati; Actinomycetota; Actinomycetes; Mycobacteriales; Mycobacteriaceae
Description: bacterial SSU rRNA
Rfam family: Bacterial small subunit ribosomal RNA
Source: RNAcentral